Molecule: long non-coding RNA, 2885 nt
Filed under: Canis lupus familiaris (dog)
Lineage: Eukaryota; Metazoa; Chordata; Mammalia; Carnivora; Canidae
Description: lncRNA (ENSCAFG00000050553.1)
Source: RNAcentral
UUUUUUUUUUUAAGAUUUUAUUUAUUUAUUUAUUUAUUUAGAAAGCAUGUAGGGGGGGCAGAGGGAGAAAAAAAGAGAGAAUCUUAGGUAGACUCCAUGCUGAGCACCUAGCCUGAUGUGAAGCUUAAUCUCAUGACCCUAAGCUCAUGACCUAAACUGGAAUUAAGAAUCGGAUGCUCAACCGACUGAGCCACCCAGGUGCACCCCCUUACUACCUGUUCUAAUUCAACCUCGAAUAUGCUUUAGUAGUGGCUAUGGAGUAAAUAGCCAAAUACAUAAGAAUAUAUUUCUAGCUGGCAUCUUGAGUCCUGGGCUAUUCCUGCUUUGUCCUGGCCUACACCUUCUGCUAGAUUUAGUCCCUCAAUCUUUAUACUCAAGAACCUACAAGGAUUCCCCAUAGCCCGUGAAUCAUGUCUAAGCUAUUCUGGCUGGCUUCAAGUCUCUCCUUAAUCUGGCUCCCAUGUACCGUGUGUUCACUCUGCUAAUCCCCAGGCACUCCAGGCUGUUGACAUACCUCACUAUGGUUCCUGUACAUGAUGCCUGGUUCUGCUUCUGGGCUCCAUUCACAGUCUCUUCACCCCUGUGCUGCCACCCAUUCUCCCCUUCCUACCCUCAAGAGCUUCCUAAACAUUAAAAAAGGCAUUGGAAACUGUUUUUUUUUGGGGGGGGGGCUAAUGAUUAAAAAUAAUUAACAUGCAAAAAUUGAGUUUGGUUUAAAAAUCCAGAAUUCCUUCAUCUUUUGAAAUAGUGGAAGAUUUGUCUACACUGGACUUUCCUUCUGACAUGACAUCUAUCGAGAGGAGGUGAGUAACAGCCAGUUACUUUAGGAGAGGACUGUUUUACCUGGCUCUCCCCAGUCCCCACCAUGCAGACAACACACCUGUAAACACCAGACCCAUUCACCUGUGUACAUUACCCACCUCGCUUCUUCCUUAUUUCAGUUGUGAAUCUAAUCAAAGCCCUAAGACCAAAUUUAAGACUAUUUCCUCCAUAAAAUAUAUCUUAAUUGUGUUUUAGUUGUUUCCCUGAGGAGGUAAGAAAUGUUGAUUUUCAACAAGAAUGUUCUAAUUUACUGGAGUUUACAAUGAUCCAUAGUUCUGCUGGAGUCCUAGCGGUUUGCAAUAGGCUUCCUUAAAAAAAAAAAAAAAGAUUUUAUUUAUUUAUUCAUGUGAGACAUAGAGAAAGAGGCAGAGACAUAGGCAGAGGAAGAAGCAGGUUCCCUGCAGGGAGCCUGACACGGGACUCGAUCCCAGGACCCCGGGAUCAUGCUCUGAGCCAAAGGCAGACCCUCAACCACUGAGCCACCCAGGCAUCCUCACAAUAGGCUUCUAAGCAGCCCUCUCUAUGUCCAGCCCCAUUCACACAGCUAAGACUUUCCUCACAGGAGAGGUGAUUUCAGAUGGCCUCUAGUGUCUUCUCCAACUCCACUCAAUAUGGGGUUCUGUGAUCUCUCUCCUACUCAGUUUCUCCUCCAUCAUGUCUCAUGAUGAGGCUGAGGGUGGUCCUAUUAACUGAACAUAGAUAGGAUGCACAGGGAACACAGGUGUAACUAUCUCAUCCCUGGUGGCAAAAUGAGAGCAGUAAGAGGAGGUAAGUGGGUCCUCAUUUGGCUGAUGGCACCAAGGAGGUUAACAUGGCAGCAAUCUAGAUAUGAAGAAUAAUCCAGACUCCCAGGUAUGAAAGUUGCAUAUGCAUCUGUAACUGCUGAGCACUGAGAGAGAGAGAGAGAGAGAGAGAGAGAGAGAGAGAGAGAAAGCUGUUACUAUCCCCAUUUUAGAAAUGAGAAGACUAAGGUCAGGAGCAUUAAGUAGCAAAUUAGUGUCUGAUCCAGGAGUUGACCCAUCUAUCUUAGUCCAACAUCUCUUUCUCUAACUUCUUUGAACUGGAUCUGAAAAUUUUGGUUGGAUUUGCAUUUGGGGAAUCUGGCUCUGAGACAGAAUAUUAACAGUUGGAUAGUGGACACAUGCUCUGUUAACCACUCAGUGUUCAUUAACCUCUUUCUCCUGCUUUUAGUCCAUCCAUUAGGAGAGAUCCAUCAUCAACUCCAGAACAUGGAACACAUAACCCAGCCCAGCCAAUUGCCAUUGCUCACACUCAUGGCCACAUGAUGAUUUGUUCAAGGAAGAGCAUGUGACCUGAGCCAAUCCAAUCAGGAUGAACCUCAGGAAUUUUAUAGGAGCUACCGGAGGAGGAGGAAAAAAAGUUCUUCUCUAGGGGACUUGAACUUUGGGAGAAUGUGAGGCUAAAACUGUUGCUGGCUCCAUCGUAUCACCAUAAGAUCAGAAUUGGUCCCAGAAUGAGGUCAACACAGAAAUCUGAACUCUACGAUGGAAGAAGAAACAGAAACAGAGUCUUGGUGACAUCAUUUGAGACCGAGUCAAACUGCAUUUGAGGCUGGAAUGGCCCUUAUACUCUUCAUAUUCCUACCAAUCAACUUCUAGCUGUUUAGACCAGUGUGGUCAUGUUUUGUGACACUUACAAUGAACAAGUCCUACAUGAAUUCUGGGUAUGAAAUAAAGUUAAAAGUAUGCAAAGUUCCAAAUUAUUUGGCCAAGGUUUCUUAAAUCCACCCCCCUUCUGGCCAUAAUUGUUCCCAGAUGCUGGUGUGCAGCCAAGACGGUGGGUGGAGGUCAAGGAGGGUCUGCAGAAAGAAAAGGAGUGUAGAGAAUUGGAGCCAGGUAAGACCAGGGAUUCCCUACCGUGACCUAACAUCACACCUGACGCCAGGACUAUGCUGUUCAGCAGUUAAGUGUGUGCUGUUAACUGAACAAUCACCCGUCAGAGAGAGAAAACACAGUGUCCACAGUCAUGCUCAAGUAAUUUAUUGGUGCUUUUUGAGAUGGUGAACAGGCAUCUGGCUAAAGGAGUCUGUGGAAAUAAUUUAA